Molecule: ribosomal RNA, 1002 nt
Filed under: uncultured Basidiomycota
Lineage: Eukaryota; Fungi; Basidiomycota
Description: eukaryotic LSU rRNA
Rfam family: Eukaryotic large subunit ribosomal RNA (bases 321-1002)
Source: RNAcentral
AUCGAUGAAGAACGCAGCGAAAUGCGAUACGUAAUGUGAAUUGCAGAAUUCAGUGAAUCAUCGAAUCUUUGAACGCACCUUGCGCCCCAUGGUAUUCCGUGGGGCAUGCCUGUUUGAGUGUCACGUAAACCCUCAUCCGUGCGAUCUUACCGUCGCACGAAUGGACUUGAGUGUUGCCGUAAUCGGCUCGCUCUGAAAUGCAUUAGCUUUGCGUCUAUUAGCGCGCUCGGCGUGGUGUGAUAAUUAUCUUCACCUAGCCUUAGGCCGCUUCCAAUGUCGCUGCUUCCAAUGGUCUUCACGGACAAAUCCAAUUAAAGCUUUGGCCUCAAAUCAGGUAGGACUACCCGCUGAACUUAAGCAUAUCAAUAAGCGGAGGAAAAGAAACUAACAAGGAUUCCCCUAGUAACGGCGAGUGAAGAGGGAAGAGCUCAAAUUUGAAAUCUGGCGGCCUCAGGUCGUCCGAGUUGUAAUCUAGAGAGGUGUUUUCCGUGCUGGACCGUGUACAAGUCCCUUGGGACAGGGCGUCGUAGAGGGUGAGAAUCCCGUUUAUGACACGGACUACCAGUGCUCUGUGAUACGCCUUCAAAGAGUCGAGUUGUUUGGGAAUGCAGCUCAAAAUGGGUGGUAAAUUCCAUCUAAAGCUAAAUACAGGCGAGAGACCGAUAGCGAACAAGUACCGUGAGGGAAAGAUGAAAAGAACUUUGGAAAGAGAGUUAAACAGUACGUGAAAUUGUUAAAAGGGAAACGCUUGAAGUCAGUCGCGUCUUCAGGGACUCAGCCUUGCUUCUGCUUGGUGCACUUCUCUGUCGAUGGGCCAACAUCAAUUUCGGGCGGCGGAUAAGGGCCUUGGGAAUGUGGCUCCCUCGGGAGUGUUAUAGCCCUCGGUCGUACGCGUUGCUUGGGAUUGAGGACCGCAGCGAGCCCGCAAGGGUGGGGCCUCGGCCACUUUACUCGCUUAGGAUGUCGGCGUAAUGGCUUUAAACGACCCGUCUUGAAACACGG